AAUAACGCACGCUGUUGUGCAAUCAGAAGGCGUUUUUACCGCGUCCUGUGGCAAGCCGAAACACGGAGUUUUUUACGGUUUACGCGCAUUUUUUACGGCGUCUGCUAUCAGGACGGCAUAUUUGACGGCGCUAAUAUUGUUUAAAACGCCGUCAAAUAGGCGUUUUGUAUGUAAACGCGAUUUCUCAACGCAGCCCCUCUCUGCGCGCUCUUCUCCAGCACGCGCUUUUUCCUGUCUUCCACGGAAAGACGCGCACGCGCUUAAUUUAAAAUGUAAUGGUCAUUUUGUUUCACUGACUGACUAACAUUCGUUUAUUGAUCUCUUUAUUGAAUAAUUACUUAUAAUUAAUAUUUACAAGAGAGUAAAUAUUGGGAUUUCAGAAAGAUUUGAUACGUCUAAUUGAAGAGAACAUGAUGUUAACCCAGAAGUUUUUUGUUUACUGACCAAAAAAAGAGAAGCACAUCAUCGCUAAUUCAGUGGUUUGCGGAGGUGAAUUUUCUUGUGGUGUUUGUUUAUCGGUCAGCCGCGUGGUGGCGAUGACAACUACAGAAAACUAGACUGUUCGGAAAAAUACUGAGACAAGGAGGCGGAGCAGUGUUUUUCUCUUCACUGCGGCCAGUCAGUGUAUGAUGGGGCAGAUUCAGCAGCAGUGGAUCCGUGAGUCUGGACUUGGUCUCAGAGAGAUCACCUCAGUUAUGGAUAUUUCAGAACCCACAAAUCCUAACAUCUAGAACCUACAGAACAUCUUUCACAUUCAUAAGGACUGCUUUAUCUUCUGCUACGAAUUAAUCUGUUUUCAGUUCCUCAUAUUUUGUUUCAGUUGUCAGCACCAUUGUAGGCUCCACCAUGGUGCAGAAGUAUCAGUCCCCAGUGAGGGUGUACAAACAUCCUUUUGAACUGGUCAUGGCAGUAAGUGUGAACCACAGACUUAACACUCAAUAGCAUUUUAUUAUUGUGGCCACACAAUAAUAAUACAUUGUAUAAAUACCAAGCUACUUAAAGUUUACAAGGCAAAACAUUAUUUUGUGGCAGGCUAUACACAUGAA
Molecule: long non-coding RNA, 1046 nt
Organism: Sinocyclocheilus rhinocerous
Lineage: Eukaryota; Metazoa; Chordata; Actinopteri; Cypriniformes; Cyprinidae
Exons: 3
Source: RefSeq, a predicted model, not a curated record